Molecule: ribosomal RNA, 468 nt
Filed under: uncultured bacterium
Lineage: Bacteria
Description: partial 16S ribosomal RNA
Rfam family: Bacterial small subunit ribosomal RNA
Source: RNAcentral
GACGAACGCUGGCGGCGUGCUUAACACAUGCAAGUCGAACGGAAAGGCCCUGCUUUUGUGGGGUGCUCGAGUGGCGAACGGGUGAGUAACACGUGAGUAACCUGCCCUUGACUUUGGGAUAACUUCAGGAAACUGGGGCUAAUACCGGAUAGGAGCUCCUGCUGCAUGGUGGGGGUUGGAAAGUUUCGGCGGUUGGGGAUGGACUCGCGGCUUAUCAGCUUGUUGGUGGGGUAGUGGCUUACCAAGGCUUUGACGGGUAGCCGGCAUGAGAGGGUGACCGGCGACAUUGGGACUGAGAUACGGCCCAGACUCCUACGGGAGGCAGAAGUGGAGAAUAUUGCACAAUGGGCGGAAGCCUGAUGCAGCAACGCCGCGUGCGGGAUGACGGACUUCGGGUUGUAACCCGCUUUCGCCUGUGACGAAGCGUGAGUGACGGUAAUGGGUAAAGAAGCACCGGCUAACUACGUG